AAGGUUUUAAGUUAAAAAAACUAAUAAUCUUCAAAAUUAUUUAUAAAGAAAUAAAUUUAUUCUUUAAGCCUUA
This 73-nucleotide transfer RNA is filed under the name Orgyia postica. RNAcentral's name for it is "tRNA-Trp". The record is from RNAcentral. Lineage: Eukaryota; Metazoa; Arthropoda; Insecta; Lepidoptera; Erebidae.